UAGUUAUCAUCAUAGUUAUGCCUAUUUCUUAGAAACAUACUUCUCGAAAAUACUCCUUUGAUUUGUAUUUUUGUCCAUUCCUUUCUUCUCAAUGCUUUUUAGGUUAAGGAUCAGGCCUUUUCUUUUCUGUUGACGUUCUCUUCUUUCCGAUUUACACAUGUCUCGGGUUAAGGAGUAUCUCCCAUUGUUGGACUUGCAGAUUUUAAGAAGGAUGAUCAAGAAAAGAAACCUAAAAGCAUAGUUGAUGUUAGCUAUGACAUAGGAGGUAGCUCAAGGUACCUAGCAAGAAUGUAUGGAGCUGAAUGUCACAGAGUCACCCUUAGCCCUAUGCAAGCUAAGAGGGUUUAGGACCUUGCUGCUGCUCAAGGGUUGGCCGAUAAGGACAUAAAAUCCGCAGACUCGUCUGGCAUUGUGACCCCAUUUUUGCUUGCGGUAAUAAAAACAGCAUCCUCACAUAGGUUUGGGCAGGAAAAUAUUCGGGUGAGGUGAUGGAGACUGGUGCACACUG
This 508-nucleotide long non-coding RNA is filed under the name Helianthus annuus (common sunflower). Its description in RNAcentral is "hypothetical non coding rna". The record is from RNAcentral. Lineage: Eukaryota; Viridiplantae; Streptophyta; Magnoliopsida; Asterales; Asteraceae.